RNAcentral lists this ribosomal RNA (492 nucleotides) under uncultured bacterium. RNAcentral describes it as "partial 16S ribosomal RNA". It matches the Rfam family "Bacterial small subunit ribosomal RNA", at positions 29 to 507 of the family's 1533-position model. The record is from RNAcentral.
AGUGAACGCUGGCGGUAGGCCUAACACAUGCAAGUCGAACGGCAGCACAGUAAGAGCUUGCUCUUACGGGUGGCGAGUGGCGGACGGGUGAGGAAUACAUCGGAAUCUACUUUUUCGUGGGGGAUAACGUAGGGAAACUUACGCUAAUACCGCAUACGACCUACGGGUGAAAGCAGGGGAUCUUCGGACCUUGCGCGAUUGAAUGAGCCGAUGUCGGAUUAGCUAGUUGGCGGGGUAAAGGCCCACCAAGGCGACGAUCCGUAGCUGGUCUGAGAGGAUGAUCAGCCACACUGGAACUGAGACACGGUCCAGACUCCUACGGGAGGCAGCAGUGGGGAAUAUUGGACAAUGGGCGCAAGCCUGAUCCAGCCAUACCGCGUGGGUGAAGAAGGCCUUCGGGUUGUAAAGCCCUUUUGUUGGGAAAGAAAAGCAGCAGGUUAAUACCCCGCUGUUCCGACGGUACCCAAAGAAUAAGCACCGGCUAACAUCGUG